Xiphophorus couchianus (Monterrey platyfish) is the source of this 1879-nucleotide long non-coding RNA. RefSeq lists it as uncharacterized. The transcript is spliced from 3 exons. The record is from RefSeq and is a predicted model, not a curated record. NCBI's taxonomy places the organism in Eukaryota, Metazoa, Chordata, Actinopteri, Cyprinodontiformes, Poeciliidae.
CGUCGCUGUUGGUUUGGUGUCUUUUUUGGCUCCUGCUGUGGCUGCCAGAUGAAAACUCAGCAUUGGAAACAAAAUUGACCUUCUGUUGUUCUGUUGCCACACAACAUCUAGCUUUACAUUCAACUCAAGCGGUCAAAUUUUCCCCCCUAUACCUUCAAAUGAACAGAACCGAACAGAACUGAACCUAUGGAGCGCUGGAUGUUACACCAGGUUGGUGAAGAAUGGGAGCAAGAAGAAGAUCAGGAGAGGAGGAAAGAGCGAGGAAAUUUAAGGGAAGGUUUGAAGAGAAAUGACAGGAUGAGAUCGCGGUAAAAUGAGAGCGGAUGGAGAAGUGAUUAAAAGGGAAGAAGGGAUGGAGAAGAAAACUUGAGUAAAAAUCAGGAAAACAGAUGAGGUGAGAAGAAAAUACAAACUAAGACAUAAAGGGAAGAAAGGGAGAGGGGAUUUCUGAUGAGGGAACAGAUAAAAAAGAAAGUAAAUCCAAUCGGCUCUUAUUGAAGAGACAGCCAGACUUGGAAAACAAAACCUAUUUGACAAGAGAGGAGUAAAAGCCCAAUGAAUCCCAGCAGACUGAAUUCUGGCUCUUUAUUCCAUCUGUUUCUGUUCGCUGCUGCUGGAAGGAAAGCUGCAGGCCCGGCCCACCACCGUGACUGGGUCAUACAAGACUUGGAAAGUGCAUCUCCUUCAAGAUUUACACCCACGCACACAAUCCUGGGAGAGUAGGCCUGACGCCAGAGCACAACAUGAACCAGCUGUUCUCCUGCUCUUGCAUUCGACCAACCAACAGCUCCAACCAUGACUGACAGGCAAGGGGGAAAAAUCUGGUGCUAACUGUAAUUCUGAUCUUGCAUAACAGACUUGAGGCAAAAGAUAAGUCCGGGGAUUUCUUGCCUCCAGAUGUCCUGAAUUUGCCAGCACUUGACCCAGUGACCUGACUGUUAGUCACAAGACCUGCUAUCCGUGGAUGUCAGACAUUAGCUGAACUGCAGCAACUAAAUCACCAAACAAAACUCCCGUGGUCUUAACAUUAAAUCUAUACCUUCUGUUCCAGGGACAGAUUUGGAGGUAAAUCUACUGUUUCCUCCACGGGAAAAAUAAAGAGGCCACUCAUUCUCAAAUGUCCACAGCUCCAUAACUUCAGAAAAAGAUAAGGCAUAUUUUGCUGUCAUAAAAUCCAGAAAUAAAAGAGGCAUUUGGAGUUUAACAACCCUCAUUUUUGCCCAGUACUCAUUUUGACUGGUGAUAAUUAAAGCCUGCACAUGUAGCAUGCAUGAACAACAUAUUGUUUUUAAUGAAUCUCCAUUGGCACCAUUAUGGGCUCUCCUGCUGUUAAGAGCUUUUAUGACCCCCUAUUGCCAAUAGGAAGGCACUUUGAGCGUAAAGAAAGGGGAAUCUUUAACCAUCCUCAAUGCACAGUCCUAAAUUUUCUCUUCAUUUGAGCAGACCCCAAAGAUUUUCUGUUGGGUUUAGGUCUGACAAUCGUUGGACCCUGGAAAAGAUUGAUUUUAUAUCAUGUUUUGAAUCAGUAUAAUCCUGAAAACCAAGCAAAAACACAUUUUAUUUAAGCUUCUCAGUGUUUAGACAGUGUUAAAAGAAACAGACCCACAGCAUAACCGAUACUCUACCAUACCUAAAAGUAGCUUUGUUUUCAUUACAAAUGUGCUCAAAACUUUGUCAAUAUUUCGCUAAUUUCAAAAAAGCUACAUUUUGUAAUUGCAUUAAAUAAGAAAAACUGUUGAAAUCAGAUGUGAAUAACUUUGUUCAUGCAACAAUCAUUUAAAAAACAUGCCAUGCCGAUAUCCUCCAACGUCCUGUUGUCUAUUUCUUCUUGGUUUGUACCAGUGGUGACAUCUGGUUGUUGAUCAUGUGACUCAUGUGA